Molecule: ribosomal RNA, 500 nt
Filed under: uncultured bacterium
Lineage: Bacteria
Description: partial 16S ribosomal RNA
Rfam family: Bacterial small subunit ribosomal RNA
Source: RNAcentral
AUUGAACGCUGGCGGCAGGCCUAACACAUGCAAGUCGAGCGGCAGCGGGACCUUCGGGUUGCCGGCGAGCGGCGGACGGGUGAGUAAUGCCUAGGAAUCUGCCUGUUAGUGGGGGAUAACGCGGGGAAACUCGCGCUAAUACCGCAUACGUCCUACGGGAGAAAGCGGGGGCUCUUCGGACCUCGCGCUAACAGAUGAGCCUAGGUCGGAUUAGCUAGUUGGUGGGGUAAUGGCCCACCAAGGCGACGAUCCGUAACUGGUCUGAGAGGAUGAUCAGUCACGCUGGAACUGGGACACGGUCCAGACUCCUACGGGAGGCAGCAGUGGGGAAUAUUGGACAAUGGGCGAAAGCCUGACCCAGCCAUGCCGCGUGUGUGAAGAAGGUCUUCGGAUUGUAAAGCACUUUAAGUCGGGAGGAAGGGCUGUAGGCUAAUACCUUGCAGUUUUGACGUUACCGACAGAAUAAGCACCGGCUAACUUCGUGCCAGCCGCCGCCGUAA